UAUCCGUAGGUGAACCUGCGGAAGGAUCAUUAACGAGUUAGGGUCUUUUAGGGUCGACCACCCAACCCCUUUGUUUUUUAACCUCUGUUGCUUCGGCGGACCCGCCUCACGGCCCCCGGAGCACCGCGGCCACGCCUGCUCUAGGCAGCGUCCGCCGAUGGUCUUCCCACUAUACUCGGAAUAAAUCGUGUCAAAAGUUUACGACAAUGAUUAAAUUAAAUCUAUAAUCUCAACAAAGGAUCUCUUAGCUCAAGCAUCGACGAAGAAACCAGCAGAUCU
This 279-nucleotide unclassified non-coding RNA is filed under the name plant metagenome. RNAcentral describes it as "partial contains small subunit ribosomal RNA, internal transcribed spacer 1, and 5.8S ribosomal RNA". The record is from RNAcentral.